GGGUCAUUAGCUCAGUUGGCAGAGCACCUGACUUUUAAUCAGGGUGUCCCGCGUUCGAGUCGCGGAUGACCCACCA
Molecule: transfer RNA, 76 nt
Filed under: Thermosyntropha tengcongensis
Lineage: Bacteria; Bacillati; Bacillota; Clostridia; Eubacteriales; Syntrophomonadaceae
Also listed under: 4 other names
Description: tRNA-Lys
Rfam family: tRNA
About the family: Transfer RNA (tRNA) molecules are approximately 80 nucleotides in length.
Source: RNAcentral